ACGACGUAUGCACACUUCCUGGCUGACUCGGCGAAUGUCUAGUGCGCAUGAAUCGUUUCGGCUGCAGUCAGUCGCAGCGAUUUGCGCCGUUCGUAGCCACCGACGCAUCACGAUCUUGAAGCAACUAGUCAUAGAACAUUAUAAAUUCGGUAUUUUAAGCAAAAGUUGCGUAACUCCUCCAUUGGCAGCAGAAAAAUAUCGGUGAGAACGGCCUAUCCAGGACUCAAUACAAGAGCCUAGGACUUCUGCGGAGGGACUCCCACGCGGGCCUCUCUCUUCACCAUUAGUUGGCUUUAUUGGUCUAUAAGGCUUUACUUGGUUCGGGUAUCGCAUGUUGAUCGCAGUGGUAGCGUACUCUUGGAGGAUCCAGGUACACUUCCCACUCCCAUAUCUCCAAAUUUUUUCACGAGGGGCCCGACCUAUUGAAUCCCAUCUUCCAUCUCACAGCCGAUCCCACCAGGACUGCAAUUGGUUGUGGUGGGAACUUGAAUGCCUCACCACACCUCUUAUUACCUCUAAAGCGGCAUGUUUUAAAUAAAAAGUUUUAAAUAUUGUGUUAAGGAAAUUUAAAUAAAAUAAUAAUUUUAUGUUUGAAUUAUGAGCAAGUUAUUUCUGAAGGUUUAAAUACAGUUUCAUCUGCAUCAUAGUUACGU
This 653-nucleotide long non-coding RNA is filed under the name Androctonus crassicauda. The record is from RNAcentral. Lineage: Eukaryota; Metazoa; Arthropoda; Arachnida; Scorpiones; Buthidae.